Molecule: non-coding RNA, 72 nt
Organism: Podarcis lilfordi (Lilford's wall lizard)
Lineage: Eukaryota; Metazoa; Chordata; Lepidosauria; Squamata; Lacertidae
Source: the annotation of a GenBank genome assembly
GGGGCUGCGGCUUCAUGGCAGAACAUCUGCCCUCCAUGCAGAAGAUCCCAGGUUCAAUCCCAGGUAUCUCCA